UACGUAGGGUGCAAGCGUUGUCCGGAAUUAUUGGGCGUAAAGAGCUCGUAGGCGGUUUGUCGCGUCUGCUGUGAAAACCCGAGGCUCAACCUCGGGCCUGCAGUGGGUACGGGCAGACUAGAGUGUGGUAGGGGAGACUGGAAUUCCUGGUGUAGCGGUGAAAUGCGUAGAUAUCAGGAGGAACACCGGUGGUGUAAACGGCUCUCUGGACCGUAACUGGACGCUGAAGACGACGAAAGCGUCGGGUAGCAAACAGG
This 257-nucleotide ribosomal RNA is filed under the name uncultured bacterium. RNAcentral's name for it is "partial 16S ribosomal RNA". It matches the Rfam family "Bacterial small subunit ribosomal RNA", at positions 524 to 776 of the family's 1533-position model. The record is from RNAcentral.